GUUUUAAGGGUCCCCCUCGACUGCACGUGCACCCUUACCUUUCCUGCCUGCGACAGCGGGUGACCUCCCUGCCCUCCUUUUUUCUCUGCAGGUCCGGAAAUCUGCGUUGAGUCUGGAACUACCCAGCUCCAGCCUUGGUAGACGACCCGCGCACUCCUCUUGCAGCUAAUUCGGGAUCAUUAAUUUAAUCGGAAAUGAGGUAACCAGUGUAGGAGAUAGAGAAAGCAAACCAAGCAUCGAAUGGCAGUUCUCGUGAAUCCACGCUGAAGAACUUCCUCUGGACUCGAUUUUUAAGCGCGGUUGUCAACACCCCACCACCCGGCCCCCUCCGCGUGUACCACCGCCAGGUGUUAGCUUGCCGGGAAGGAAUCUUCUUUGGAGGGGUGCACCUUGCCAACAGGUGCUUAGAACCAAGCGUCUGCAAACGUGAUCCCUCCACGUAAGUUUCUCUCUGGAAGCCACCGCUAUUGACUGUAAGCUGUAUUUAAGAAACCUUGGCUGAGUUUACUUAUGACCUAACGGUUAGUCACCAACUGAAGCAGGAUACAGAAUCACCAAGAGAAAUGUGUCAGCUUUUAAACAACUGUAUUAUUGUCAAGCCAACGUGCUACAGAAAUAAAAAUAAGCAUACUAACUAGCAAGGUGUAGAGCCCCGGAAAUGAUUUUUUUCUCACAUUUUGAAAUACCAUGCACAUGUACAUGGCUACUUAAAUAGAACUACUACUGUUCAUUCACUCUUACUC
This 743-nucleotide long non-coding RNA is filed under the name Equus asinus (donkey). RNAcentral describes it as "lncRNA (ENSEASG00005031643.1)". The record is from RNAcentral. Lineage: Eukaryota; Metazoa; Chordata; Mammalia; Perissodactyla; Equidae.